UUAAAAGUACCAUUAACUGCAAAUGAAACAUACUGGAGAUAACAAUGUACAGAUCACAAAGAAUGAAGCAAAGAACUUCAUGAUGUGAAAAAACUAAAUAAGCAAAUUUUCAUUCAUCUGGGCUUAGGCAUGCCUUUCUGGUCGUCUUUUUGAAUUAUUCUUGGGACGAAUUUUCACAAACGCUUUCUCUAAAUCCUGAACAGGUUCUUUUGGCGGCAUGCCAGAGGUCCAGAGAUCUUCCAAAUUGUAAUAAGCUC
Molecule: unclassified non-coding RNA, 257 nt
Filed under: Hevea brasiliensis (rubber tree)
Lineage: Eukaryota; Viridiplantae; Streptophyta; Magnoliopsida; Malpighiales; Euphorbiaceae
Source: RNAcentral